RNAcentral lists this small nucleolar RNA (78 nucleotides) under Acanthamoeba castellanii str. Neff. Its description in RNAcentral is "Small nucleolar RNA SNORD18". It matches the Rfam family "Small nucleolar RNA SNORD18". From Rfam's summary of the family: U18 is a member of the C/D class of snoRNA which contain the C (UGAUGA) and D (CUGA) box motifs. It is encoded in introns of ribosomal protein L1 in Xenopus and human, and in introns of elongation factor 1 beta in yeast. Related snoRNAs in Arabidopsis and rice have been named R63 and Z106 respectively. Lineage: Eukaryota; Discosea; Longamoebia; Acanthamoebidae. The record is from Rfam by way of RNAcentral.
CGUAGAUGAUGAUUUCUACUUAUUGGUCCGUGUUGAUGAUAGGCUAUGGCCAUGAAUAUAAUAAUAAGUCCUGACACA